Octopus sinensis (East Asian common octopus) is the source of this 218-nucleotide long non-coding RNA. RefSeq lists it as uncharacterized. The record is from RefSeq and is a predicted model, not a curated record. NCBI's taxonomy places the organism in Eukaryota, Metazoa, Mollusca, Cephalopoda, Octopoda, Octopodidae. The transcript is spliced from 3 exons.
ACAUAUAUAGGGAGAAUUCACAAAAGAACAAGAGACGAAGACAGAUGAGAUGGUGUAGAAAACAAAUAGAUGUAUUAGUAUAACGCUCGGGAAUUGAAAAAAGUAUUUAAUGUUUCGAUCAUACGCUCUUCCACAAAAGGAACACAGGAAGAAACAAGUAGAGAAAAAAUAGAAUGUGUAAUAUAUAUAUAUAUAUAAUAUAGGGGAAAUAUACAGAC